Molecule: long non-coding RNA, 1026 nt
Organism: Gallus gallus (chicken)
Lineage: Eukaryota; Metazoa; Chordata; Aves; Galliformes; Phasianidae
Source: Ensembl
ACAUCCAUGGCGUGUACCCUGUAGCAGGACAGAGGCAGCACAGAGCUCCUUUUGUGCCAACUGUGCUCUGCAGACCCAGGGUGUGUGCUGUUCAUCAUGGAGACAUCAUUAUAGUUGGGGCUUCUGUUCUUUUGUUGCAUUUCAAAUACCCAAUAUGCACAGAAGUGUUCCCACACUUUAUUUUCAGGCAUCUGACAGACAAGCUGCAGGGUUGAGUUGUCAUUUGUGGGGCAGUGUAAGGCCUGUGAAGUUUAUCCAGUUCUCUUAAACUACUGCUGCUUAGAAAAUGACAGUCUAAUUGUAGCUUGUGCUUUGGCUCUUAGGGACAUGAGAUGCAGCACCAGUAGGCAAAGUUGAAACUAAAUUAUCUGCUCUUCUGUGGUACAGGGAAAUGCAAAGGUAGAUGUGGUCUGUGCAGCAGGCUCAGCCCAGCUGUGUAGAGGUGUGCUGCAGCAGAAGCCACUUAAAUUCCUGGAGGCAGGAGCACCAGCUCAGGGACAGGCAGGGACUGCAACUGAAGCAGUGUGUUCUGUCUGCACCCGGUGUCUGCUGUGUGGCAGCAUGGAACCCCCCGUCCUGCUUCGCCAAGAAUUCUCAGUGAUGCUGUGAGAACAGCAGAGACUUUGAGUGGCAGUAACUGAGGGAGCUGCCACAGCCUUUGGGAGACACACUGGAGGUGUGGGACAGCACGGGGCUGCUGGUGCUGCCUGCGUGGAUGCCACAGAUCAAAGGCUGUCCUUGAGGGAACUUCUCUGAAGCUGCACUUCAGUUUACCUUUAUUUGAGGCAGAGGCAAAACUUACUUGAACUUGUUCCAGUGGAAUGAUGGGGGAUUAAUUAGUUAAUGAAUACUCAGAGAUGCAAACUAAGAGCUAGUUGUUCACGCUGCAUUGGGGCCAGUAUAUCGUCCUGAACUCCAUCUCUCUGUGCCUGCCAAGGAUUUUUUACUACUACACAGGUGGAUGUGUUUUCAGCAGAGGCUUCCAUGUGGAAGAUUUUAAGAACUAAAAGAAAAAGCAAGUCCAGG